CCUACGGGUGGCUGCAGUCGAGAAUCUUCGGCAAUGGGCGCAAGCCUGACCGAGCGACGCCGCGUGCGGGAUGAAGGCCUUCGGGUUGUAAACCGCUGUCGUAGGGGAUCAAGCAACGGGGGUUCUCCCCCGGAGUUGAGUGAACCUAGGAGGAAGGGCCGGCUAAUCUCGUGCCAGCAGCCGCGGUAAUACGAGAGGCCCAAACGUUAUUCGGAAUUACUGGGCUUAAAGAGUCCGUAGGCGGCGCGGAAAGUAGGGUGUGAAAGCCCUCGGCUUAACCGAGGAAUUGCGCUCUAAACUACCGUGCUUGAGGAACCUAGAGGUGAGCGGAACUGAUGGUGGAGCGGUGAAAUGCGUUGAUAUCAUCAGGAACACCGGAGGCGAAGGCGGCUCACUGGGGGUUUACUGACGCUGAGGGACGAAAGCCAGGGGAGCAAACG
RNAcentral lists this ribosomal RNA (440 nucleotides) under uncultured bacterium. RNAcentral's name for it is "bacterial SSU rRNA". It matches the Rfam family "Bacterial small subunit ribosomal RNA", at positions 338 to 774 of the family's 1533-position model. The record is from RNAcentral.